UUUAUCUUCUCCACACCCAAAAGCUUCAUCCCAUCUCGCUCCCAUCCCUUACCAGUCUGUCCACAAUGUAAUAUCCAGCUUAGGGCUGGGUGGUGACUUUAUAUSUGGAAAUAAUGGACCCAUCRGAUGUCCUGAUUGGACCAUGAGAGAUGGAGGAAACUUGCUGCUCCAGUAGGUUUAGUAAACUUACUGUGACCCCUUCUCUUCAACCCAGCAUGUGAUUCUCGUGUUCUCCUGUCACCUUUCUAUUCCUCUGUCAUUUUUUUGCUUCUCUGACUCAYUUCUUCUCUCCUCCUCUUCUGGUUUUGACUGAAAAUUGAAUGACAUCACCAAGUGGAGCACAUUUUUCCUCUGUGAUAUGGCAGUCACCAAUGCUUCCAGCCUGAUCUUGRCUGAUGUUUAACCCUGCUGACCUCCUUAUAUUUGGUUAGAAGGAUAUUAAGACAAGAUAAUAGGCAUUUCUUAACCUGAUCACCUACAGRAAGGAGGGUUAGGUAAUGACAUGGAUGGAGAACUGGUCUCUUCUCUAUCUGCGUGUCCUACCUUAAUAACUCUUGACUCCCUUGAACUUUUGAGCCAAGUUUGACAGAUGGUGAAGGUCCAAGGACAGUUUAAGUCCUAACAUUUAGUGAAAAGAGGCAGCCACACAGAAGAGAGGACUCUCAGUGCCCCAGCUGUAAAAAAAAGCUUUGGCCAGACUUUGCACCUCCUUAGAUAACAAGAUCAGUCAAGGAAGACACACUAAUCUGUGGGAAACUUUGCUGCCCCUUUUCACUUGACAGUUUGAAAAAUGUUGACCAACACCUUUUAACUGCUGCCUUUCAUAUCCCAAAUAUAGACAGAGCACAACAGAUUUGGACUGAUUUUCAGACACAGUGAGCUUGAUUCAGUUGCCCAAACAUAGACACAAGUCCAUUGACCAGGAGAUUUUGUGAURUACUGCAUUGCCCUCACUCAGUUUUAAGACUUUCAGGAAASGUACAGAGAGAAAGCACGGAGACAGAGCCUUCCCUGCAAAUGCAAAGAGAAAGUGCAACAGCUCUGGCUCAGCCACUCCACACUAAUUUCUCAGGAACUAACUUCUGUUGCAAGAGGGAGAAAAACAUAAAGAUGGUUUGGGUGCUGUCUACUCUGAACUAGGU
RNAcentral lists this long non-coding RNA (1142 nucleotides) under Apteryx haastii (Great spotted kiwi). RNAcentral's name for it is "lncRNA (ENSAHAG00000003362.1)". The record is from RNAcentral. Lineage: Eukaryota; Metazoa; Chordata; Aves; Apterygiformes; Apterygidae.